RNAcentral lists this ribosomal RNA (205 nucleotides) under uncultured bacterium. Its description in RNAcentral is "partial 16S ribosomal RNA". It matches the Rfam family "Bacterial small subunit ribosomal RNA", at positions 568 to 775 of the family's 1533-position model. The record is from RNAcentral.
CUCGUAGGCGGCUCUUAAGUCGGACGUGAAUCCCCGGCUCAACCUGGGAACUGCGUCUGAUACUGGGGGGCUGGAAUGCGGGAGAGGGAUGCGGAAUUCCAGGUGUAGCGGUGAAAUGCGUAGAUAUCUGGAGGAACACCGGUGGCGAAGGCGGCAUCCUGGACCGUGAUUGACGCUGAGGAGCGAAAGCCAGGGGAGCAAACGG